GGACAGAAAGACCCUAUGAAGCUUGACUGUAUCCUGGAAUUGGGUUUGGGCUUUUCUUGCGCAGUCUAGGUGGGAGGCUAUGAAGAUUUCCUUCUGGGGAAGUUGGAGCCAUCAGUGAGAGACCACUCUGGAGAGGCUAGAAUCCUAAUGGUGAUCCUUGAAUCAGGACACUUGACAGUUUCAGGUGGGCAGUUUUUCUGGGGCGGAAGCCUCAUAAAGGGUAACUGAGGCGCGCAAAGGUCCCCUCAGUCUGGACGGAAAUCAGACAACGAGUGUAAAGGCAAAAGGGGGCUUGACUGCAAGACCUACAAGUCGAGCAGGAGCGAAAGCUGGCCUUAGUGAUCCGACGGUACCGUGUGGAAGGGCCGUCGCUCA
Molecule: ribosomal RNA, 375 nt
Filed under: Tetradesmus deserticola
Lineage: Eukaryota; Viridiplantae; Chlorophyta; Chlorophyceae; Sphaeropleales; Scenedesmaceae
Description: partial 23S ribosomal RNA
Rfam family: Bacterial large subunit ribosomal RNA
Source: RNAcentral